Long non-coding RNA from Clupea harengus (Atlantic herring), 935 nucleotides. The record is from Ensembl. Lineage: Eukaryota; Metazoa; Chordata; Actinopteri; Clupeiformes; Clupeidae.
CACACACACACCCAAACACACACACACACACACACACACUCACAGUAAGGAAGCCUUGAGCCUCCACACCCUUCCCUUGUUCUGAGUGGCCGGCCACCCUGAAUGCCUGGCUGUCACUGAGAGAAAGGCUGUGAUUCACUCUGACUCUCACACAGUCCUCGGCACACUGCCCCCUGGCUGCCAGCUGUGGUACUACAUGCAGGCUGGAGUGGAGGACUUUUUUUAAUUCUGCCCUGCGCCCUGCUGAGUUUUCCUUCUCUGUGCAGAUGCAUUGUGGGAUACCAAGCUCUACGUUGUGUUAUUAUGUAUGUUGUGUGUUAAUAUCAUAGUCUCUGAUUACGCAUGGUGCUGUGAGUCACAGAGGAGUUGUGAGUUAGAGAGAAUGUGUGUGUUGUGUCUGCAGAGACUUGGUGCUGUGAGUUAGAGAGGAGUUGUGAGUUGUGUGUAUUAAUAUUAUAAAGGUAUUCGCAGUUGCGUUGUGUGUUAAUAUCAUAAAGGUAUUCGCAGUUGCGUUGUGUGUUAAUAUCAUAAAGGUAUUCGCAGUUGUGUUGUUUGUUAAUAUCAUAAAGGUAUUCGCAGUUGCGUUGUGUGUUAAUAUCGUAAAGGUAUUCGCAGUUGCGUUGUGUGUUAAUAUCGUAAAGGUAUUCGCAGCGGUGGCUGUUCUCAGCCAGUGAAUAUUCAUGGCCAGUCUUUGCUGGGCUGCGGCAUCAAUUAUAUAUGGGAGCCAUUUUUAUAUUUUAUUUUAUUUAAUUUUUUUCCCCCAAGGCUGUUCUACAUAGCCAGCCACAAAGCUCACCCAGUCUGCUUUCUCGCUUGUCCCGCCAUGGGGGGUCCCUUCACACACACACACAGACACACACACACACUCACACAGACACACACACUCAUGCAGUUUGAGGAGUCUCCCGCGAGGCCUGGGGGUGGCAGGGGAGGGG